GGUCCUCAACCUGUAAAAACCUGUAGAAUGUGCCUGUACGUGUAGCAUUUUUGCUCACGAGACAGCAACCGCCGCCUUGCCCGCCACCCCUGCCUCCGUCCGUUGUACGCACACAUGCUCCAGACCUGGAGCACGCGCGCAAGAAAGCUUUUGGCUCGAAGCGUGCGCACACACUGCUGGUCAGGAGCUUGCACACACGAGACGCAGCACCGCUUCGCUCCUAGAACACGGCAGUAGCUAGCGAGUGAGCACGGCAGCAUGCCAGAACACACAAACACACGUGCGCGCCGCGCGCACACCACGCCCUCGUCGAGCUCGCCUCCGUGCGCCUCGACGGCACGCGCGCACACACCCAUGGCCACGUUCGCCAGCACACAAACGCGCACACCUCCGGAGGGCAACCUGGACGCGGGAGAGCUCGCCGCGAGCCGCGAGCAAGAUGUUGGUAGCCUGGUAGGAGACGGGAAGCUCACCGCGAGCCGGGCGCCUCACAAUGCUCGGUGCUCUGUGCCGCCGCAUUGCUGCAUCCAACUCCGACAAGCAAUUGCUGCCGGAUAUCAGUGCCUCCAACUACCAUGUCAUGGUCACCUCGCCGCCGCGAACCAACCCGGCCACCCCAUGAAAAAAGGCGACCAGGGGAACGCCGAUCUCGACCACAACCGUACUGCCCCGUCGUCUUCGUCGACUCCGGCGAGACCUCAUGGACGGGAUCUCUGCGCGUGGUAACGACCUCGAUGAGCCGGCGGACAAGCCAAUCUUCCGGUUCUGGCUGAAGGGCGCCGUCGAGCUCGUACUGCGUUCCGUGCUCGCCGUUGACUUCGCCACCUAGCUGCUUCGCGCUCGCGAUGCUGGGGUGGCUUUGCUGCGUGGCCGGUGGAGGAACGUUGGGUGAUGAACGCCUGUAAGUGAUCGGGGGAGGGGCGCUUCGCGACCUCUGGACGGCAGCAGCAGCAAGACCGGCUCCAGUAGGCGUCGGCAUUCGGUGAGGCUGUGCUUGAGCAUCUAUUAGACCUACCUGCAAAUGAAACAGCUAUGUUGGGACAGGAACGAAGAAAGCUACGUAGUUCACAAGGAGCAGACAAAACAGCCUUGCAGCAAACUUCAUCGCUGCCUCAAAGCCGAAAGCAAAAAUCCAGAGAAACCCUUGAGUACGACCGUCUGUCGAGACAGUAAAGCUCAAUGUUGAUGCCGCGUUCGACCCUGAUUCACUGCAAGGUACUGUUAGUGCUGUAUUGCGGGACAACUCUGGGAAAUUCUUGGCAGCAGGAAACAAUGUAGCUAGGGAAUGCAUGUAUGCUCUAAUUGUCGAAGCCCUUGCACUUCGGUUUGGUCUCAAUUUGGCGCAAAGCUAUGGGUGCUCAAUUUGGCGCAAAGCCCGGUUCGAGCAUUGCCAUCGUGGGGCAAAUUCAGCUGCUCAUGAGUUAGCAAGAUUAACUAAGUUCUCCCCCCCUAGUACUUGGUUUGAUGAGGCCCUAGUGCCUUGGUCCCUUUUAUUGUAAAAGAUUCUUUGUGUAUUUACCACUGAAUAAAUAAAGGGAUUUGGAGAGUUAAAAAA
Non-coding RNA from Aegilops tauschii subsp. strangulata, 1555 nucleotides. NCBI's taxonomy places the organism in Eukaryota, Viridiplantae, Streptophyta, Magnoliopsida, Poales, Poaceae. The record is from RefSeq and is a predicted model, not a curated record.